Molecule: ribosomal RNA, 1428 nt
Filed under: uncultured organism
Description: 16S ribosomal RNA
Rfam family: Bacterial small subunit ribosomal RNA
Source: RNAcentral
GCUUAACACAUGCAAGUCGAGGGGCAUCAGGACGAUAGCUUGCUUUCUUUGCUGGCGACCGGCGCACGGGUGAGUAACACGUAUCCAACCUGCCCUUUACUCGGGGAUAGCCUUUCGAAAGAAAGAUUAAUACCCGAUAGCAUAAUGAUUCCGCAUGGUUUCAUUAUUAAAGGAUUCCGGUAAAGGAUGGGGAUGCGUUCCAUUAGGUUGUUGGUGAGGUAACGGCUCACCAAGCCUUCGAUGGAUAGGGGUUCUGAGAGGAAGGUCCCCCACAUUGGAACUGAGACACGGUCCAAACUCCUACGGGAGGCAGCAGUGAGGAAUAUUGGUCAAUGGGCGCUAGCCUGAACCAGCCAAGUAGCGUGAAGGAUGAAGGCUCUAUGGGUCGUAAACUUCUUUUAUAUAAGAAUAAAGUGCAGUAUGUAUACUGUUUUGUAUGUAUUAUAUGAAUAAGGAUCGGCUAACUCCGUGCCAGCAGCCGCGGUAAUACGGAGGAUCCGAGCGUUAUCCGGAUUUAUUGGGUUUAAAGGGAGCGUAGGUGGACUGGUAAGUCAGUUGUGAAAGUUUGCGGCUCAACCGUAAAAUUGCAGUUGAUACUGCCAGUCUUGAGUACAGUAGAGGUGGGCGGAAUUCGUGGUGUAGCGGUGAAAUGCUUAGAUAUCACGAAGAACUCCGAUUGCGAAGGCAGCUCACUGGACUGCAACUGACACUGAUGCUCGAAAGUGUGGGUAUCAAACAGGAUUAGAUACCCUGGUAGUCCACACAGUAAACGAUGAAUACUCGCUGUUUGCGAUAUACAGUAAGCGGCCAAGCGAAAGCAUUAAGUAUUCCACCUGGGGAGUACGCCGGCAACGGUGAAACUCAAAGGAAUUGACGGGGGCCCGCACAAGCGGAGGAACAUGUGGUUUAAUUCGAUGAUACGCGAGGAACCUUACCCGGGCUUAAAUUGCAGUGGAAUGAUGUGGAAACAUGUCAGUGAGCAAUCACCGCUGUGAAGGUGCUGCAUGGUUGUCGUCAGCUCGUGCCGUGAGGUGUCGGCUUAAGUGCCAUAACGAGCGCAACCCUUAUCUUUAGUUACUAACAGGUCAUGCUGAGGACUCUAGAGAGACUGCCGUCGUAAGAUGUGAGGAAGGUGGGGAUGACGUCAAAUCAGCACGGCCCUUACGUCCGGGGCUACACACGUGUUACAAUGGGGGGUACAGAAGGCAGCUAGCGGGUGACCGUAUGCUAAUCCCAAAAGCCUCUCUCAGUUCGGAUCGAAGUCUGCAACCCGACUUCGUGAAGCUGGAUUCGCUAGUAAUCGCGCAUCAGCCACGGCGCGGUGAAUACGCUCCCGGGCCUUGUACACACCGCCCGUCAAGCCAUGGGAGCCGGGGGUACCUGAAGUACGUAACCGCAAGGAUCGUCCUAGGGUAAAACUGGUGACUG